Long non-coding RNA from Armigeres subalbatus, 1036 nucleotides. RefSeq lists it as uncharacterized. The record is from RefSeq and is a predicted model, not a curated record. The transcript has 2 exons. NCBI's taxonomy places the organism in Eukaryota, Metazoa, Arthropoda, Insecta, Diptera, Culicidae.
ACAGAAAGAGAUAGCAACAAACUUCCUAACCCCGAUGUAAAAAAGACGGAAGAGAUCGAUGAUGAACGAGGGGCUUAUAAAAUACACUGAACCAAAACAGCAACCUAAAAUCGACUGAUUUGGCUUUCCCCUCCCAGCAAACAAGGUUACUCUAACUUGACCCUAACAUGAGUGUAACCUGUUAGAAAGUUACUCUAAUUUUCUCACUAACGUUAGGGUAAAAUGAGACUAAAAUUAGACAGAUCUGCAACACUUUUGUUAGAUAUGUUUAUGUAAGUUGCAUAAUUUAAUCUAACCUGUUAGCCUCACUUUAGUAUAACGUUAGCAAUGUUUUGCAGUGAGCGGUUAGGGAGUUGUGAGGGUUGUUUUGAAAGGGCUUUCAUGCUGAUUUAUUUACAUUCAGCUGUCAUCCGAGGCAGAAUGUAUAUAUAUGCCUAGUGAAAAUACAUAAUAUACAUAACUGCCUCGAGUAACAGAUGAAUGUAAAUAAAUUAUCAAUAAAAAUCGUCUUAGAAAUUUUCUAUAUUUACCAAAGUAAUUGUUAUACAUUUAGAUUAACAACAUUUAGCUGAAUUAAGACUAUAGGAAGGAAGCAGUUUUGCAAUUUACACAGCAAUUUACAGCCGCCGCCUAUUCCGAAGCGGUCUUCUAUAUUCGAACCGGAACCUGGUCCACCACGAAACUUGCAGCGUAGUAGACGCGAAGCGGUCGCAGCGUAGAUGAUGUCUUUGAGUACGAUGCGGUCCUAUUCCGAUACGGCCUUUUUAAUCGGCCGGGAACCGUACUCUCGUCAUCUAGACAACUACGAGACGCGGACAAGUUCUCUCGCAGGACAGAAACCAGGACAUCCGGAUGAUCAUGAAGAUGGUUCUGGAUCAAAUAGUUGAUUUAAGUGGUAGGUAGAAUGAAUCCGAAUCUUCGUAAUUGUGUAGUCGUCCAAGGACCGCAAAUUAUCAGUGAAUGAACCACAUUAAUUAUAUUACACACUUGUAUGAACAUCAAUAUUUAAAGCCCAAAAUAAACUUCCGAUAGUUGA